RNAcentral lists this ribosomal RNA (210 nucleotides) under Triticum aestivum (bread wheat). RNAcentral describes it as "partial small subunit ribosomal RNA". Lineage: Eukaryota; Viridiplantae; Streptophyta; Magnoliopsida; Poales; Poaceae. The record is from RNAcentral.
GGCGGCGGCAAGAAGGCGUCGUGGCCGGAGGUGGUCGGGCUGCCGGCCGAUGAGGCAAGGGUCAUCCUCAAGGACAAGCCCGACGCCGACGUGAUCUUCGUGCCUUUCGGGGCGGGGGUGCAGCAGGACCUCAGGCUAAACCGCGUCCGCGUCUUCGUCGGCACCAUCGCCAGCGUGGUGACCGUCGUCCUCGCCCCCAAGGUUGGCUAG